AUUGAACGCUAGCGGGAUGCCUUACACAUGCAAGUCGAACGGAGUGGCGAACGGGUGAGUAAUGUAUCGGAACGUGCCCAGUAGCGGGGGAUAACUACGCGAAAGCGUAGCUAAUACCGCCUACUAUGGGAGAGGCCGAUAGCGGAUUGGAUGGUUGGUGGGGGAACGGCUCACCAAGGCGACGCACCGGAGCUGGUUUGGGAGGAAGACCAGCCACACUGGGACUGAGACACGGCCCAGACUCCUACGGGAGGCAGCAGUGGGGAAUUUUGGACAAUGGGGGAAACCCUGAUCCAGCCAUCCCGCGUGUGCGAUGAAGGCCUUCGGGUUGUAAAGCACUUUUGGCAGGAAAGCGGUACCUGCAGAAUAAGCACCGGCUAACUACGUGCCAGCAGCCGCGGUAAUUC
Molecule: ribosomal RNA, 407 nt
Filed under: uncultured bacterium
Lineage: Bacteria
Description: partial 16S ribosomal RNA
Rfam family: Bacterial small subunit ribosomal RNA
Source: RNAcentral